Molecule: unclassified non-coding RNA, 425 nt
Filed under: Hevea brasiliensis (rubber tree)
Lineage: Eukaryota; Viridiplantae; Streptophyta; Magnoliopsida; Malpighiales; Euphorbiaceae
Source: RNAcentral
AACACUUGUCAAGAUAACCCCAAGCCCCCUAAUAGCAGAGCAGAGCAAGGCAAGGUUCCGUCCAAUAGAGUUGGAAACAGUAAUGCAGGGACUGAAGGCAGCAGCAGCCUUACUUGUAAGGCGGAGUAGAAGCUGUUAUUUCCAUUACAGAAAUCUCUCUUCUCUUCCAAGCAAUUCCUCAAUCGAUGAUGAUCCCGAUAAUCAAGUUGUUAUUUUUUCUUUUUCUUCAUUGAAUCCCUAUUUAUUUUGUGUAAUUAGCACUUUGAUCUUGCUUUACUGCCUUAUAUUACACAGGUAUUAGUUGAAGGCAAAGCUUGUUCGAGAACAGCCAUUCUCAACAGACCCUCUGCCCUCAAUGCACUCAAUACUAGCAUGGGUGCGCGAUUGCUGAAAUUGUAUAGAUCUUGGGAGGAUAAUCCAGAUAU